RNAcentral lists this ribosomal RNA (449 nucleotides) under uncultured bacterium. RNAcentral's name for it is "bacterial SSU rRNA". It matches the Rfam family "Bacterial small subunit ribosomal RNA", at positions 28 to 489 of the family's 1533-position model. The record is from RNAcentral.
GACGAACGCUGGCGGCGUGCUUAACACAUGCAAGUCGAACGGUGAACCAGAGCUUGCUCUGGGGAUCAGUGGCGAACGGGUGAGUAACACGUGGGCAACCUGCCCCAGACUCUGGGAUAACCCCGGGAAACCGGAGCUAAUAUCGGAUAUGACCACUUCGGACAUCCGAUGGUGGUGGAAAGUUUUUCGGUCUGGGAUGGGCCCGCGGCCUAUCAGCUAGUUGGUGGGGUAAUGGCCUACCAAGGCGACGACGGGUAGCCGGCCUGAGAGGGCGACCGGCCACACUGGAACUGAGACACGGUCCAGACUCCUACGGGAGGCAGCAGUGGGGAAUAUUGCACAAUGGGCGAAAGCCUGAUGCAGCGACGCCGCGUGAGGGACGACGGCCUCGGGUUGUAAACCGUCUUUCUAGUCAGGGACGAAGCGAAAGUGACUGUACCUGCAAAGAA